This is a long non-coding RNA of Rhodamnia argentea, 255 nucleotides long. RefSeq lists it as uncharacterized. The transcript is spliced from 2 exons. Lineage: Eukaryota; Viridiplantae; Streptophyta; Magnoliopsida; Myrtales; Myrtaceae. The record is from RefSeq and is a predicted model, not a curated record.
AAUCAACUAUUUACACCUCGAAGUAAAAGUGUACUGGCUUUAAUUCCCACUCUUGAAAUAUUAUUCCAGUAGAUUUUCAGAGAAUUAAUUUCUACCAUGCUUUUGAGUAUAAGGCAAGAGGAACACAAGCUGAACUUUGCUCACCAGAAAUUAAAGCUAACCAAAGCCUCAAAAUUCACCUUGUGCGUGCAAUAAAGCCGAACGAAUCGAAUUCAGGAUAUAAAGCCUCUCAACGUAUGAAAAAAGACUCCGACC